CACACUCGAGACCGGUGUAUGUCCUGGUUAAGACUAUCCGGGUCCCCACAUGGUCAACCCCUCCCCCACACCUAUACCCGCGCGCGCGUCUGGAGCUAAUGAUUGCAUCUCGUGACUCACUCACUGGACGAGCAGGAGCUGCAAACGCAGCAGCAAUCAGCGUGUUCGUUCUCCAAGGUAAGCUAAACACUUUUAUUUCAAAUGUAAUUCGUGUGUUAACAUCAUAACAAAUGCCACUACCAUAUAUUAUGGAGAAUGUUAAUAACAAAGCAGGCCUUGCUAGCGAUAAUUUUAACUUUGCAGUUUUCUGUCGAGUCGGGUUUAGUCAGUAUAAUGUUAGAUAACGUUAGUUUACUAACGCGCCUAUACAUGUGCAAUGUAAAUGGAAACUAUUUAGCUAACUACCACUACCAAGCUAACCGACUUAUUAGCUAGGCAGCGAUUGAAGCUUAAUGCAUGCCAUACAUUUUUUUUUUUUUUUGCGUUUGUUGUAUAAUUUAAUCACAUGUGAUUGAUAAUCGAUAAAUGUAUGUUUUUAUGAUAUGCACACUACAGUAGUUAGCUUGUAUGUUAGGAUGGACUACUAUGACAAUUAGCAAGUUAAAUAGAGUAUAGGAUCAGUUGUCAUAACACUUCCGCACUACAGCGUGGUUGGGUUGUAUGGCGGGAGAAAAGCUGCCAUCAGGGGUAACUUAGGUUUUCACUCAUGGAGAGAAGAACUUGGACCAAUCCAGGAUGCGGAGUACCAUAUCCAAGCGGGGAUUGAUAAACCAUGUCUCCAGCGUUUUAUCAAUAAUUUUAAAGCAUUGAUGCAUGUGAAAAGGACUCCUCUCUUGGGAGACUUGUUGAUGACGACCACAGAAGACCUAUUUUUGCAAAAUGAAAACCAUAAGUAAAGAAACCACACUUGUCUCUUCGCGAUUCGAGAUAUUACACCUGGAGAAGAACUGACGUCAACAACGUGACUCAAACUGGCCAUGGAGAGCACAGCCCCCAAAACACACUUCACUGGCACGGACACCCUGUUCAACAUGCCCGUCUCAGAUGAUAAUUUGCAGAGUGAGCGCUCGAAGUUGCAGGCCGGGAUUGACAAAUUAAAAACACCACAAUCGGUGUGAAACUCUGUAUGAAUCUACGGCUGAGAAGCGAAAUGCUCUUCAAAGACAGCGAACCUUACUCCUACUGCAAUUGGCAAACUUGGAUAAAAUGCUGGGCCCAGAAUCACAUCCAGUCACUUAAACAGCAGAAGAUUCUGUGAUACCCUCACCAACAGACACACAGGUAUGGUCAGAAAUUGACCAUGCAUCUCCAACCAGCGAAUGUGUACCACCACUGGAAAGAGUGUAUUUGUUGCCUUCCUUCACAACAUGGACACAGAUUCCAGCUCUGCAGAAGAUGGGAAUGUGUCCCACUCCAAUUCCAAGCUGGGCCCAGAAUCACAUCCAGUCACUUAAACAGCAGAAGAUUCUGUGAUACCCUCACCAACAGACACACAGGUAUGGUCAGAAAUUGACCAUGCAUCUCCAACCAGCGAAUGUGUACCACCACUGGAAAGAGUGUAUUUGUUGCCUUCCUUCACAACAUGGACUAGGGUUAGGGUUCUUAACAUGAACGACACCGAAAUGGACCAACUUGCUGAUAUCCUGGGACAUGAUAUUCGUAUCCACAGGAAAUAUUACAGAUUACCCGAGGGAACACUAUUAACAGGAGUGCGUUGAGCCUGAUCCUGGGAUAGAGAGUGAAACCGAACUGUCAGAUCAUUCUCAUGACGUGAUGUCAAGUGAGCCAGGCACUUCAGGAGUGAAUAGCAGCAGGCCAGUAAACACGAAUGAAGGAUCUCCAGAGAGGUCACGGGAGGUCAUGAAAGUAACAUCAGUUCCUAGGAAGAGAAAGUGGAGUGAAGUGGAGAUUGCAGCUGUAGAAGAGACAAUGAUGAAAUGUAUUCACUCGGGAGUUACUCCUGGAAAAGUCGACUACAUUGCAUGCAUUACAGCAGCCCCCAAAGCCCUCGGUGAACGAGACUGGCAGGCGGUGAAGUAUUAUA
This is a long non-coding RNA of Carassius auratus (goldfish), 2044 nucleotides long. RefSeq lists it as uncharacterized. The record is from RefSeq and is a predicted model, not a curated record. Lineage: Eukaryota; Metazoa; Chordata; Actinopteri; Cypriniformes; Cyprinidae. The transcript is spliced from 16 exons.